CCGACCUUAGCUCAGUUGGUAGAGCGGAGGAUUGUAGAUCCUUAGGUCGCUGGUUCGAAUCCGGCAGGUCGGA
Molecule: transfer RNA, 73 nt
Filed under: Zingiber officinale
Lineage: Eukaryota; Viridiplantae; Streptophyta; Magnoliopsida; Zingiberales; Zingiberaceae
Description: tRNA-Tyr
Rfam family: tRNA
About the family: Transfer RNA (tRNA) molecules are approximately 80 nucleotides in length. Their secondary structure includes four short double-helical elements and three loops (D, anti-codon, and T loops).
Source: RNAcentral